RNAcentral lists this small RNA (132 nucleotides) under Escherichia coli. Its description in RNAcentral is "RtT sRNA". It matches the Rfam family "RtT RNA". From Rfam's summary of the family: This family represents a bacterial cis-regulatory element known as RtT RNA. The exact function of RtT is unknown although it is thought that it may be involved in changing the cellular response in relation to amino acid starvation. The record is from RNAcentral. Lineage: Bacteria; Pseudomonadati; Pseudomonadota; Gammaproteobacteria; Enterobacterales; Enterobacteriaceae.
AUUCUGCCCAUGCGGAGAAGGAUGAGAAGCUUCGACCAAGGUUCGACUCGAGCGCCAGCGAGAGAGCGUUGCCGCAGGCAACGACCCGAAGGGCGAAGCGCGCAGCGCUGAGUAAUCCUUCCCCCACCACCA